GUUACUACUAAUCGAACCUACACCAAUGGCCUUGUAUAGUCAAACUUUUACCAUAGUUUUAAUGUAUAGUCAAGUCAU
This 78-nucleotide transfer RNA is filed under the name Pinus squamata. RNAcentral's name for it is "tRNA-Thr". The record is from RNAcentral. Lineage: Eukaryota; Viridiplantae; Streptophyta; Pinopsida; Pinales; Pinaceae.